AUCACUGGGGAUCUUGUUAAAAUGCAAUUCUGAUUGAGGAGAUCUGGGAUGAGGGCUGAGGUUUUGCAUUUCUAACAAGCUCCCAUGUGAUGCUGU
RNAcentral lists this microRNA precursor (96 nucleotides) under Marmota marmota marmota (Alpine marmot). RNAcentral's name for it is "mir-544 microRNA precursor family". It matches the Rfam family "mir-544 microRNA precursor family". RNAcentral also lists the same sequence under 3 other names. Lineage: Eukaryota; Metazoa; Chordata; Mammalia; Rodentia; Sciuridae. The record is from Rfam by way of RNAcentral.